AAACGUGACCCUAUUUUCCCCUGCUUUCAGGAGCUCUGCCUGAAGAGAAGAAAUCGGCCAUCCACAUUUUACGACAUCCUGAAGACCUGAAACAUCGUCAGUAUAUCAAUAGUAUGUGAGAGGUUUGUCAUUUGUCAGGACUCAGGAUAGACACAGCAAACCCUUCCCCAGUUUAUAAAAAACUGAGAAAAUAAUUUUACCAGAGAUAUUGUAGCAGCAAUAAGCAAGUGAGGUACAGUAGUAUAUAAAAAAAUCGUUCGGACGUUUGGGAUAUCUCUUCUGGUUUUCUUCUUGUUGCGAUUCAUCUGUUAGUAAUGUUCUUGAUUUGGCCCGUCUCUGCCCGUCGAGAAAGUGGAGACAGAGAUGUAACCGAGAUAUCCAUUACUGACAAAUGUGAGUGAAUUAUGAAUUUGUAUCUCGAUAAAAAAAAACUUGAUGAUAGGUCCAAAAUGAAGUGGAGUACUUAUGUGACGCAAAACAAAAUCUACACCACUCAUUUUGUGUUUAAUAGCACUUCCCAUCGUUUUGUGGUUCCGUUUGUCGGUGCGAAGAAACUAGACGAGAUGAAUUCGAGAAAUAUCAGGUUCAUGCAUGUGCUUUGCCGUUUAUCGCCAUGCCCCUGGUCUUUGUUUCUUCAUGUGGAGUACGUAGCAGCUGCUACGGUAUGCGAUGGACAUGGCCGGAGCCUGAUAGGGCUAACCAAAGGGAAUCUACCUUGGUGAUCCAUACGGUACAAUUUGUUGAAAUAUAUUGCCUGUCUCUCUGCAUCACCUCAGAUCUCUGCAUCAGUUCAGACUGACGUUGAGCACUGACCAUACACAGAAAGAAAGAGAAUUUAGUGAGCAAGAACAAGGAAGUGAACCUAUGCAUGCAGAACCCUGAACCUGAACUUUUGUAGUUCACCGUUAUGUAGAGGCCUUCCAAUUCAGCAUCAAAUUUAAGUGUGUGCGACUAAAGAACGUUCAUCAGACACUACAACAUAGCUUUAUGUUGGUGCCCCGAUAUGUGGUGAAUUCGUUGGAUGGCCAGUGCCCCAAUAGCUUUCGGGCCAUGGACACGUUUGAUGAUCAUCUAUUUCAUAACAUAGUGCGUAUAGAUUUUUUAUAAAGUCGAAUUGUGCAAACUUUGACCAAGUUUACAGGAGAUCCUUUUAUAUCUAUAAUACUCUCUCCAUUUUUAUAUACAAGGCCACUAUCAAAAUUACGAUUUGCAGCUAUACAAGGCCACUAACACUUCCGGUUUAUAAGGCUCAAUUCAAAAUUCUCACCAACCAAGGUAGAUGGUGAGUGGUGGAAUACUUUUUGUAGUUUGCAAAAGCAUCCAAUUAAUGCUCUUGUUUUUUUCAAAAAAGUAUGUUUACCAAUGCAUUAAUUGCAAUGCAUGCAUGCAUAAAUUACAUGCAUUGGUCAAAUUUCUCUUAGUACUUGCAUGCAAUAAUUUAAUUGCACCUUGGAAUCUGAACAUGUGAUGAAAAACAACCAAAAAGAGUGAGAAGGUUGGCUUGCAUGCGCCUCAUUAAUCAACCAAAAAGAGUGAGAGCAUCGGCUUGUUGUGGGUGGAACAAAAAAAGAAGCAUUAAUUAACACGACAAACAAGGAGACAAGUUAGCUAGCAAUAUUGACUUAAGCACACAUUUACUUUUGGCUUGGUACCUGUAAUAUGGGUUUGUGGCCUUGUAUACACAAAUGGAGGGAGUACGAAAUAUAUAAAAUAUGAAACUACAUCUUAUGAUGAAUCUAAUGAUGCAUAUGUAUUUCUCCACAAACUUGGCUAAAUUUUAUGAGGUUUGACUUUUCAAAAAAAUCUAUAUGCACUACUGUUUGGAACGGAGGGAGUAUCUGCUUCGGUGAUCCGCAUUGGAGUUGCCCUAACGUAGAAUCUGGGGGAAAAAUUUAUUUAGCUGAUGUCAGAGAUCCUGGGCGGUCCUGGAGGCAAAAUUUAUCAUCUUGUCGCCGGAGUCCACUGAAUCGCUGGCACAUUUACGUGUGCACAGUCCUAGCUAGUACUACUUCAGUGCUACGUACGUACCCCGACCCCGGCUGGCAACAACGCCCCAUUAUUUUCUCGCCACCCUCCCCUUCCUUCGUCGUCGUCGUCGUCUCCAACCCCCACGGCCACCUCCCGUCCUCCCCCCAUAAAACCCACUGCCUCUGCAUCUGCCUCUGCUCCGGAGAGAGGGAAGCGGACGAGAUGGGCGGGAAGGUGAAGGCGAUGGCGCCGGUGGAGGAGGUGGACGUCGCCGCCGCGCGGUACGAGCCGCUGGUGCUGCGGGCGCCGCGCCUCACGGGGUUCCCGCUCCGGGCCUUCGUCUGGCUCCUCGAGUCCCCGCUCCUUGGGCCCCUCGUCACCUCCGUCCUCAAGAAGCAGAACAACAUGACGCAGGUCCUCCCUUCCCAUGCCAGUUUCUGUUUCGUUUGAGAUUAUUUUGCUUCGGUUGCACUCACCACAGUUCUCGUCUUGCCGGGGGACGAGCGGAGCAGAUGCUGCAGCACACGGUGAUCCCCGACCGGCCCAUGUUCUUCCCGGAGUUCCCGCCGCAGGGUACGUACGACACUCAUAUCCUCUGUCUCUGUGUGUGUAGUGUGUACAAGCAAAAGCAGCUACGGGAAACUUUUCAUUCAGUCAGGUUCUACUGAAUUUUGGUCUUCUUGAAUUUUGUAUAGUUGAGAACUCAGAGAUAGAUGUUCUACUACUUUCAUUCAGUCAGGUUCUACUGAAACUUUUCGCAAAAAAAAAAAAAAAAGAGAGAAAAAAUUCUCCUGAAACUGAAAAAAGGCAGAGAACAUGAAUGUAUGCUGCAGAAGCACAACCACACCUGAAUAAUUCGCUCAGUUUCAUCUGAAAAAUAAUUUGCUUAAUUCAGUUACACCACCCUGUUUUUAUAUAUUUUUUGACUGGAGACAGCAAGACAAUUUCCUACUGCAGCUUUUUUAAUCAUGUGAAAGUUAUAUGCACACGGUGAACAAAAUAAAAAAAAGCUGUAUUAUUGUUAACUGCUGCUGCUCCCAAUUUGCCAGAGCCGGAGAAAGGGGUUGUGAUCCUGGGGGAAGAUAGGGACCCUGUGGAGAGAGUGGAGGAAACACUGCAGUGCCUCGCUCCGUAUGACCCGUCUACGCAUUUCACAUCGUCGGAUGAGAAAAACCCCUUUCUAUACUGGAAGAUCCGUGACUUUGCACAUGCGUACCGGUCUGGGAUCACGACACCCUCAGCUGUGAGUAGCCCACUGGAAUGUAUUCUAUUUGUACAGAACAUUGCUUGCUCUGCUUGCAUUUGUGGUGUUAACCAGGCCUCUGGCUAGGUUGCGGAGCAUGUCAUUGCGGGCGUGGAAGAGUGGAACAAUAAGAAGCCUCCGAUGCCAAUGCUGAUCUAUUUUGAUGCUGAUGACCUGAGGAAGCAAGCUCAUGCUUCCACAAAGAGAUUUGAGCAAGGUUUACGCCGAACCUAUCUUUGCUGCUUCAUUCAAUCAUUGUUGAAAUGACCAGACAUCAGGUGGAAACUCCAUUUACCUCUAUCCUGUUUUCUUGAUAUGUGUUGCCUCUUGUGCACAGGAAGCCCGAUUUCCGUUCUGGAUGGGAUCUUUUUCGCCGUUAAGGAUGACAUUGACUGCUUCCCAUAUCCAUCAAAGAGUUAGCUCACUCGACUGAAGUAGCCUUUUUUUUUUGCUGUGUCCGAGAAGCAUGUUCUAUAUCAUGUUCCUCUUUUUGAAUUCAGGUGGUACCACAUUUUUCGACAAAAUCCGCCCUGUGGAGAAAGACGCAGUCUUAGUUGCUCGUUUACGGAAAUGUGGAGUGAUUUUUAUCGGGAAAGCAAAUAUGCACGAGCUAGGCAUUGGGGUCACCGGGAACAAUCCAAACUAUGGGUAUGUCUCAUGGUUAAUAAUUGAGCGGCUGCUAGUUCUGUUCGAAAUGCUUACAUACAUGGAGUCUAGUUUUAUUGGAGGUGCUAAAACUUAAGUCAUGUUUUCAUCUAUGUUGACCUGGUGGAACUCGAGUGUUGCCAGAUUAAAUUUCUUUUCUCCUUUUUUUUGAAAUGCUGCAAACAUGAAUGUCCAAUAAUGUCUAGGUGAUUCUUUUGCUUUCCCUAAAGUUUUGUAAAGGAAAAGGAGAACUACAAUAUUUGUUUGCUCUUUCCUAGAAGCAAACUUAGCUAAGUAAUUGUAAAGCUUGACAAGGAAUCAGAACUCUCAGAUGCCUACAAACAUUAUGCUCUAGCAGUAUCAUCAGAAACCAUCACAUUAUGAAAAAGAAAUGGAAAACAGAUUUGGAAUUUGCAGUUUGUUCAUCCAGUCUACUUAUGUUCUGAUGUUUGCUACUUUAUCUUCGUAAUUUCAUAACUAUUUAUUGCAGGACAGUAAGAAAUCCACAUUCAAUCGAUAGAUAUACCGGUGCUUCUUCAUCUGGUCCAGCUGCACUUGUCUCAUCAGGGUUAUGCUCAGCAGCGAUUGGAACAGACGCCGGAGGUUUGUACAUAUAGAGCUGUGACAUUCAUUGACACUACAUUCUUUUCAGUACUAGUCUCUUACUGGGACUUUUUCUUUCUUACAGGCUCAGUUCGAAUACCAUCCUCCCUAUGUGGCAUUGUUGGUUUGAAGACAACAUUCGGGCGCACAGAUAUGACUGGGUAACUAAGAGAAGUUCCUACUUGAUAUGUACUACUAGCACUUGCUUUGCCACUCUGAUACUAUGUUAAGCUUCAUGCACUAGGCAACACAAUCGAAAGUCCGAACUGAUGAAAAGGGCUAGACAAUCUACAUAUACACUUAACAGACCACCCAUGCUUGCAUAAAUUAUAUGUUACAGUACUGUGAAAAGUAUCCGUGAUGGAUAAAAUGAUAUUGUUUUAGUUUGAUCAAACCAGAUAUUUUUCAUAAAUUAAAGCCAAAUUUUAGAAAAUAUCUUGAGCUUGUUAACCCGGUCGCUAAGGCCUUAUACAAUGGGAGGUGCUUAGGAGAGGUGCUUAGAGAAAUAAACCAGGAUUUCCUUAAGCACCGGUGCUUAUUUGUACAGGGUAGACGCUUAACUAAGCGUCUCUCCUAUAGAAAUAGGCACCGGUGCUUCAGAAAAACCCGGUUUAUUUUUCUAAGCACCUCCCUAAGCAUCUCCAUUGUAUAAGGCCUAAAUAUUUCAAGUCAUCAGAUGUAAAUCAAAAUGCCAACUUGUUUUUUUUAACUUAAAAUGCCAACUUGUUUAAUUUCAUAUAAUGAACCCAAGUGCUAAUUUCUAUUUAAAUGUUAUUAUCAAAUAGUCAUUUAUUGACUCUAUGGGGUGUUUCACAAAAUCUAUUUUCCUUAUUUAUUAUUUUGAGUUUCAUAUAAAAAUACAUUGACUUUUUUAUUCGGUUGUUUCCUAUGUAUUAUUAAAUUUGUCGUUUUAGAUUUUGACAUGAUCUUCGAUGCAUACCUUUGGCAAUUACUUUUAAUAAAAAUGUGUUUUAAUAUAAAAUUAUAAAGUAUUAGUAUAGUUUGAAUAAAGUGAUAUUAUUUUUACAUGACCAAUGCAAAUAUUUUUUACAUAUACUACUAAGGGCCAAAGAUGUGUGUUGCCCUGCACAUUUGCGUGGCUAUUUUUUACAUGCGUGUUACAUGUUUUUUCAAAUUAGGAUAAUAUGAAUGGAAUACGUUUUGAUCACUGGAUUUAUUUGACUUGCUAUUAGGAUUAAUAAUAGAUAUUUGUGUUUUAUUUGAUCUUGUUACAGCCCAUGUAAAUUACAUGGCUUAGUCAUCUUUUAUAGGUUUAUUUUAGUUUAAUUUUUGCAAUGUCAUUUGCACUAUCCUCCCAUACACUCAAAUGCCCAGCAUGUUUAAUUUCUCAACCCAUAUGGUGUUGGACGUGCCCAUUAGGUAGCUCAAACCGUAUUGCUUGGGCCCAAACUGCGUUUGAGUGCCCAAAGCCAUACCAACGUCAUUUUUCUGUUUUUCUCUCCUCCUGCAUUUGAGUGCCCAAAGCCAGCCCAAACUGCUAGCUAUGAUUGGUUUGAGAGGCUCGUAUCGGAUACAAGUAUGCAUGUUUUUUCUGAUUGGUUUGUUGUGCUUGUAUCAAAUACUAAUACAUACAUGUUAUUUGUGGUUGCAUCUUGUACGUGUCGGGUGACAAAAUUCGUAUGUGAUGUUGUUCUCAGUAACUUUACACCUUUUAAUAUCAACCAUUAUAUAUUUUUAGCCUAUGUGGACGAAUGUGUUGGCAUUUGCCUUUUGUUUUAGUAUAUAAAUAAUAGAUAGAUUGUGAGUAUGCAUAAUUAUAUAUCUUAUUUGCAGGGUGCUUUGCGAUUGUGGGACUUCUGAAGUUGCUUCACCUCUUACAGCAUCGGUGGAGGAUUCUAUGCUAGUGUAAGUAGUUUGGCUUGCUAAAUGAGAUCGUGAGGUUGCAUAAACCUGUUUAGCCAUCUUGUUGGCAACGUCGAAGUUUGUCAACUCUCUUAUUUACGUUAAUGAUAUGAGAUAUAAAUUUAACUACCUCAUGGGUAGUGGGUACAACUGAAUACUUGUCAUUUAUGAAUACUCAACAGUGAACACUCUCUGCUUGUAAGUUAUGUGUUUACUACUUACAGUGUUACACCUAGUCGUAUGGCAUUUCAGGUAUUCUGCACUUGCUGGCUGUAGACCUAUGGAUAAGCUUACUCUGAGACCUGUAAGAUAUUUCCUGUUUUAACACUUCCCAUCUGUCAAGUACGAGAAACAUUGAAGUGCAUGUUGAACAAACUCUAAAAUGUCUUUCAUGUCACUUCUACGUCAUUGCACUAUACUAGUCGGUUUUUUUAAAAUGUGAAGCAGUACAAAUGUCAGCAUUAAUGAAUUGUGUGAAACAAGAAUGUGAUUAUUGUUUCUGAAAUGAAAAGUAAAAUUUGAAGCUCCACAGUACGGUAAUCAUAAUAUAGCAACAGUCAUAUGUUAACCUUCUCCAUUAUUACCCAGGAUGGAUCAUAACUUAUGAUCUAAAUCUAACCUUAUUGCAUCCUAUCAGGCUCACAACUUCUACAUCUCUUUCCCUUUUUUGCUGUACAGUUGCCGCUGUGUGUUCCUAACUUGGUGUCCUCUGAGAACAACGAUAUCCUGCAAUCAGUGAAAGUGGGAAAAUAUACAGAGGUACAAUUUUUAACAUGAAAUAUUAUCUUUGUACAUAUGUAAUUUUUCUUAUAUAAACUUGGCCUUUUCAGUGGUUUCAUGAUGUUUCUGAUAUUGAGAUCUCAAAUACAUGUGAGGAUGCACUUAGCCUCCUGCGCAACACCUUCGGAUGUCAGGUAGGGCCAUUUAUACCGCAGCACAUCUUUAUUAUUGUAUUAUUCUUAUGUUUAUUUAUAUCAACUGUUUAGGUGCUGUACCUUUGAAUGUACAAUCUCUUAUUUAGAUGAAGGCAUUUUCUCAUUAAUACGAUUUCCAUGUGUAAGGUGAAUGCUUCUGUGCUCACCAAAAACUACUACCAUAGUUCUGUUGAUGGUUGUGUCAAAACAAUUGUGAAGUGUUAAUUAGAAAAAUGUCCAUCUUACUAUUGUUAACAAUUCCUGUAAGUUUUAACUGAUCUGUAUCAUUUAGAGCUUUUAGACAUCCAACAAGCAGUAAUAGUUAAGCUUAAUUUCUCCCAGCUGCUAAAUGAUUAUGACGAGACGCCUUUUCUGAUGACGUGGGAUCUACUAUAUAUAUGCAUAUUUUGCUGUUUUUUGACAUCUCAACUGACUAGUAUUGUUUAACAUUUUUCAAGAUAGAAGAGAUAAUAUUACCAGAGCUUUUGGAGAUGCGUACUGCCCAUCUUGUCACUAUUGGCUCAGAAGGAUUCUGCCAGCUGAAUGCUCAUUACCAAGAAGGGUACCUAUCUAUAUCUAUCAACACAAAUAUCGGAUUCUCCAUACUGCUAUUAGCAUGAGUUAUCAAUUUUUUUUUCUUUCAAUAGGAGGCAGAACUUGAAAUUUUUGGUCCCUGAGAGACUGGAAAUAUUAUUUUUAUUUAGUCUUUACUAUUCCGUACUAUCAAUCUCACUAUACUAUCUUCCAGGAGGCGAACUGAAAUGACAUUAGAUACUCGAGGAAGUUUGGCACUUUUUGGGUCAUUCACUUCAGCAGAUUAUGUUGCUUCUCAACGCCUGAGGUGAAUAUGAGUAUAAAUGUAGCUGAUCCAUUUAUGAUUUCCAUUAGAGCACUCGUUCAUGAGUAUGAUGUAGUUUUUUUUCGUCAUGCAGUCUCAUUCAGAUCUUGGAAGUUCUUUUAGAACCAUGUUGACUGUUAUUGUAGAUAAGAAAGAUAAAAUAAAAUCUAUUUAGAUGGUAAGAAUUUUUCCAGGUAACACAGAGAGAUGACCAACCAAGCUAAUAAGAAACGAAUGUAUCUAAUGAUCCCACAGGUUUCCACAAGCCCUUAUCCAGUGCAUUUUUGUUGGAUUUAAUUUGACAAUAUCUGUUAUUUCUAGUAUAAUUAACCGUAGUUAUUGCUAAAUUACAAAUUAAAUUACAAUUCCAUCUAACUAAAUUAUUCUAAUAUGAUGUAUCCUAUAUAUGCCUUAUUUUAGUUAGUUCUUUCUUUAUCAUUUUAUUUUGAAAAUAAAUUGGAGAUUAUAGACAAGUACAAAAAGGACAUGCAUUACAGAGCAUACCUAACUGUGUGGACAUUUUUUUUACUAAGUAACAAUACAUCAGUAGCUGCUAGAAGUUGUGUAGCUUCAAUUUUAUCUUUAUCUGCUACCAGAAGGUGCUGCUAACUCAAAUUUCUUAUUCUUUUCUUUAAAAGCUACCAUGUCUUGACUAGACUCCAUAAAUGAUUUUUAGAGAAGUCCAUUUGGGCAUUGUAGUUUGUCACAUAUACUGAGUUACUAAAAUUUCCUAGAUCUGCUUGCUGUUGCACAAAUUGUGGGCAUUGAGGUGUUGUUAUAAAUCACAUGACACAUGGUUGUUGUAUGACAAAUGUAAUUAAGUCUGGAUAUGAACUGGCGACUAUCAAGUAUAUAUUUCUUUUCCCCACAGCAGACGUUCUGCCAGUUGUGUGCUUACCGUAUCCAUGGCUUAUAUAGGAGAAGGAUGAUGUACUAUCACACGGAAGCUUUCAGGAAGGUUGACGUCAUAGCAACCCCUACAACCGGGUAAAAGAUUUUAAAGUCUAUUACAAUCGGUUCAUAGACACUUUAUAUCAUCUUAGUCAGUUAUGCUAAUAGUGUAUAUGCAUGCUUCCUACUUGGUACUUGUGUUUGUCUAGUCAAAGAGGCUAGUGCAUGAGGAAAAUUCUGCCUUCUAGCUUCCAGUGGAUGGUUAGUGGUUCUACGUGACCUAGUUUUCUAAUUGUUGGGAUCGAGAGAGAGGCGCCUGGUCUUUGGUCUCUGGUGUCGGCACUUCUCCGCUUUUUUUUUUCAUUCUUUUUUGCAUUUUGGUUCUUCCUUUUUUACGUUUUCAUUUUUCUUUUGUUUAUUUUUUGGUUUUCUUUGUUAUUUCGGUUAUUAUUCUACAUUUUUAUAUAUGUCAACAAUAUUUUCUAAUACACGUCUAACAUUUUUUCAAUAAAAAUUAAAUAUUUUGGCAAUACAUGGUCAACAUUUUCUGCAUAGACGUUUUAAACAUUUUCAAAUGCUUAAAUAAAAUUUUUAAAUAAAAGAUUAACAUUUUGUAAUAAAUGGUCAAUAUUUUUUAGUUCAAUUUAUAUGUUUUUUAAGAGCUGAACUAAAAGUUCUGACAUAAAAAGAUUAACAUUCUCUUAUGACAUGAUCAACAUUUUUUCUAUAAACAUUUAACAUUUGCCAAACGCUUGAUUAACAUUUUUUGAAACAUUUGUUCAAUAUUUUUUAAAUGCUUGAUUGAUAUUUUUAUAUACAUGAUCAAAAAGUUUCAUCUUUUUUAAUACAUGGUCAACAUAUUUUCUAAUCACAUUUGACAUUUUCCAAAUGUUUCAUUAAUUUUUUUCAAAUACUUGUUCAACAUUUUUUCAAAUGCUUGAUUAACAUUUUUAUAUACAAUGUUUUUCAUCAUUUUUUUAAUACAUGGUCAAUUUUUUUAUACACAUUUAACAUUUCCCAAAUGCCUGAUUAACACUUUUCAAAUACUUGUUCAACAUUUUUUUUCAAAUGAUUGAUUAUUUUUUUUUAUGUACAUGAUAAAAAAAUUCAUCAUUUUUUAAUACAUGAACACUAUUUUUCCUAUAUACACUCCACAUUUUUUGAUUGCUUGUUCAACAUUUUUCAAAUAUUUAUUUAACCUUUUUCAAAUAUUGUUUGUGGAGUGUUUUUGUAACAUACAUAUUUAGAAUAUUUGAAAGUAUAAAACUUACAAAAAUAAAGCAAAAAAUAAAACAGAAAAUAUGAAAACAAAUAAAAAAUGAGGCUGUGGCCUGCCGCGCGUGGGCCGGUCCGUCUCGCUCGCCCCUUCAGCGAGUUGGAAGGUGGACUCGCUGGAGGCGAAAUAUAGGGGCGCCCCACCCCUUCCCCUUCUGUACUAUAUAAAUGGGCCAGCCCAACUAAGACGAGCGAGAAGGCCCCUCCGCUCCCGGUUUUUGUGAUGCUUCCCAGGCUAGUUUUGGGAAGCUUUGGAAGUUUCCAGCUAUUUUUUUUUUGUUUUCUAGACAGGUUUUUGUUGGUUUUAUCCGUUUUUCAUUGUUUUCAUAUGCGAGAACCUUUUCAAAUUCGCGAACUCUUCUCAAAAUGUUGUGAACUUUUUUCAAGUUUAAGAUUUUUUCGAAUUCGUGAACUCUUUUCCUUUUUGUGAAGAUUUUUCAAAUUAUGAACUUUUCCAAGCCAUGAAGUUUCCUCAAAUUCUAGAACUUUUUCCAAAUUUUGUCAGAAUUUUCAAAUUUACGAAAUUCUUUUAUUGUUUGUGAACUUUUAUGAAUACAUGAACUUUUUUGAAUUCGUGAAAUUUUUCCAAUUUUGGGAACAUUUCCAAAUUUCAUGAACUUUUUUAAGAUCAUGAACUUUUUUGAAAAUUGUGAACAGUUUUAAAAUUCAUGGACAUUUUUUAUUCAUGAUAUUUUUAAAAUUUGUGAACAUUUUUCAAAUUCAUGAACUUUUUCAAAUUUCUGAUUAAUUUUGAAAAUCGUGAACUCUUUCACAUUUUAUGAACUUUUUUAAAUUGUUCGAAAUUUGUAAACCCUUUUGGAUUUUAUUAUUCUUCCAGGUUGAUGAUUUUUUGGGAAACUCAACAGUUAACUACUAACUAGUCAUGGUCAACCAGGCCUACUGGUCAACUGUUGAACGAUCAACAUUUUAUUGAGCAUAUGUUGACCGAUGAACUGAUGGAACGAUCAAGCUGUUCAAAAAAAGAAAAAAACCGAGGAAACGAAAGGGACACUCGGUUUGUUGGUCUGGCCUAUGCGGGAGCCGGGAGAGGCGUGCGAGGGCCAAGUAGCUUAAUCAGCACUGAACAUGCCAAUUAGGAGGUCUCAGUGGUUUCUGAAUUAAAUGCGAGAUACUAUGUGUGAAUUACUGAAUUGACAAUACUAUUUCACAUUUGGGAUUACACGGAGCAACUGAUAUAAGUCUGUUUAUCUUUGCUCCCUAGAAUGCCGCAUACCUAAUUUUACCAGGUUGCACCAGUUAUAACAACUAAGGAGAUGUGUUGUUUUUCCCAGCAUUACUGCACCAAGAAUACCACCAAGUGCUCUGAAAGGAGAGUCUGAUUAUAUUGUAUCAGGUAGAUUCUUUCACUAUAUUAUGUUAUGCAUUUCAUUAGCCAUUCAACAUGUGGAUAUACAACUCAUCACAAACUCAGCUCUGAACCAUGCUAACAUCCUGCAUAAAAACUACUGAAAUCUUGAUUUGGACCAAUUGUUAUUUGACACAGCAACUGUUGUCUUUGUCUAGUAUUUUGAAAAAUGUUUGUAAUAAGAAAAAUAAAAUAACGACAGCUCUAUAUGUGAAAUUUGCAGGGGAGAUUGAGGUCAUAAACACAAUUUUCACACCUUAGCCGCGAAGAUCCUAAAAAGCUAAAGCUGAGCUAUCACUAGCUAUUUCCUUAUUUAGAUCACGGGUUUCAUGGUUUUGUGGUGGGACGGCACAAAGCUGUAACGGAAUAUCACAAGCUAUUUAGAACCUUGUUGGAGUCAUAUAUACAAGUGGCAUUUCUUCCUUUUGGAAUCUAAUACUAGUAUAAAGUAGCUAUGCAAUAUGUAUGUUCACGUGUUCACGAGUUCACGAAUCUAAUAGUUUGUAUGAGUUCAGCAGUUUGCAAAGCAAACUAUAUAUAUAUGCCUCUUUUGGUGCCAACUUGCCAAGUACAACUGUUGGUACUUCUACGGAGAUCAAAUACACCUUUUUCUGUUUCUUAUUCUAUCUCUCUAUUGCAGCUAAGUUGAUGCAAUUCAUUGUUGCGGGGAAUCUUCUUGGCUUUCCUGCCAUAACUGUUCCUGUAAGUGGUGUCACAACUCAUGGUGAAUAUUUAUUGUAUCUUCUAGUUAACGUUAUGAGAUUGUGUAUGGAAUAAUAACUUUACCAUUAUUGAUGUACAUUCAGAAACGAUGGUGUUAUUUCCAACAUAAUGAAAGGUUUACAGAUAAUUAUAGAAAAAUAUUCAGAAUUUUGGUAGUAUAAUAUAGCUUAAAAACAUGGAGGGAAUGUAUUAUUUUCUAAUAUGAGCUGCUACUCCUGUGCUGUACUCAGGUUGGUCAUGACAAGCAAGGCCUUCCUAUCGGCUUGCAACUGAUAGGCCGUCCAUGGGGUGAGGCUAGCUUACUGAGGGUGGCUUCGGCAGUAGAGGUACUGUUCACAUUCAUCAUAAAUGUUCUGUAUUUUUGAUUUGCCACCUGAGAAUGCACUCUUGUUCGAUAGGAGUCUAUGUGCCUUUUAAACCUGCAUGAACCCGAGCGAAUCUAUGAACAUUUGCCAGUUUUCUCAGGCGUUGGGAAAACUUUAUUUACUAAGAAAAAGGGUUUUCCUCCACUCUAUAUUACAAAGCAACCACCGAUACAUCCAACAAUAGGUGCUGGAGCCGCAGCACAAACAAGCCCAAAGAAAAACAAAGAAGAAAGAAAGAGAAAUAAUUGCCAACAACAGUAGAUCAAUGAAACGAAGAUGACUGGCGACCGCUGCACCCUCCGGAGAAGUACCACCACGAUCCCAGCACUCUGAAGCGCCGCCUACCAAGCAACACCUUCAAGAAGGAGGCGACGACGACACCGCUGUUGCCCGGACUAGUCCUAGGAUUUCCCCCGGCACGCGGGGGGCAGUGGGGGGAAGGGGUGUACCCGACGCCCUUCAGGAAGGUCCGGCGGCACCCACAGGUGUCGCCGCAUCGGGUCCGGACGAGCUGCCAGAGAUUUCUCCCAACUCAAACUCCCACCACCACCCCAGACGAAUCAUCGUGCACCGCCCAUCACGCCGCCCACCAACAUGUGCCACCACGGUCACCGAAUCAACUUCGCCGUCUCCCAAAGGUCACCGACACGAGACCUGGAGGGCGGGAGAAGAGAUAGUGGCCUCGGGGGCAUCUGCAACAUCGCCGACGUGAGGGGACAACCACCACCGCGGGGCCGGCCGGACGCACGGACAAGGGGCUUACCAGGCGCCGAGGCCCGGCCGGACCCAAAAGAGUCUGGACAGCCUCUGCCGUCACGCUGCAGCUCGCCGGCCGACGAAGCCGCCACCGCCCGCAGACCACUGCCUCUUCGCCACCAACCAGGGAGCAGCAUCGCCGCGCACCGAGUCAUCGGCCCGCCUUAGCCCAGAUGGAGUCCGAAAGGGCCCAGAUCUGGGCCGCGCGGGCGCCGCCAGCCACCAGCACCGCCACGCCGCCCCGCGGCCAACGGCCGCACCACCGCACCAAGGACCACGAGGCUCUCCGGACUCCCGCCGCCGAGCCACACCGCAGCCGGCCGAGAUGCACCGCCGCCAUUGGGAGGCCCCCCCCAUGAGCGAGCGGGGAAGGGACGGCCCACCGACACCGGCGCCGCGCGGGCAAGGCCCGGCAGACCCAGCCGGCGGCGGCGGGGAGGGAGAUGGACGGGGAGUGGGGGCCGGAGGGGAAGAGCCGCAGGAGCCCGCCCGUCGCCCGCGGGGUGGCGAGCAGGCGGACGGGGACGCGGGGGAGGAGGAGAGGGAGGCGGAGCGCGCAAGGCCGGCGGCGGCGGCGGGGGGCGGGGGCGGAACCCUAGUCGCGGGAGAUUUUUGGUAGCCGUCAAACUUUAUCUACACUACUAUGCUGUCUAGGGGCAUUUUUAAUGGGAAGAGACGCUAAUGCAGAUAAUUUCUGAAACAUGGUAAAUUUAGCAUGUCUACGGAAUCAGAAAAGCAGUAUUCAGUAGGAUCAUCAUUACGAGUGCGAACAUUAUUUUCAUCAAAUAUUUUGUACUGCCUUUGUCUGCUUCUGAACCCUCGUAAAUUGAGAACAUUACCCCUGCUUUCAGGAGCUCUGCCUGAAGAGAAGGAAUCGUCCGUCCACAUUCUUUGACAUCCUAAAGACCUGAAGCAUCAUCAGUAUGUAAUAUCAAUAGUAUGUAAGAGGUUUGUCAUUUGUCAUUUGUGAGGACUCAGGAUAGAGACGGCAAACCCUUGUCCAGGUUAUGUAAACUGAGAAAAUAAUUCUACCAGAGAUAUUGCAGCAACAAAUAAUUAAGCUAAUUAAGCGAGGUACUCCCUCCGUAAAGAAAUGUAAGAGCGUUGCGAUAUCGUUUGGAUGCUUGGGAUAUCUCUGCUGGUUUGCUUGUUCUUUCGGAUUGCGAUUCAUCUGCUUGUAAUGUUCUUGUUCUGGCUCGUCUCUGUCAGUCGAACAGAGGAAGAGAUGUAACUGGGAUAUCCAUUACUGACAAAUGAUAAUCUCUGGUCAAAGUGAG
RNAcentral lists this long non-coding RNA (14727 nucleotides) under Triticum aestivum (bread wheat). RNAcentral's name for it is "long non-coding RNA (TAES_LNC019990)". Lineage: Eukaryota; Viridiplantae; Streptophyta; Magnoliopsida; Poales; Poaceae. The record is from RNAcentral.